AUUUACCUGGACCACCAGCGCUUGAAACUAGACACUAACCUCAAGGAAAAAACUCAAAAACACUCAAAAUCAUGGAGACUAAAUAGCACACUAUUAAACAAUGAAUGGGUUAAAAAUGAGAUCAAGGAAGAAAACAAAAAGUUUCUGGAAACAAAUGAAAAUGAAUACACCACAUCCCCAAAUUUAUGGGACACAGCAAAGGCAGUCAUGAGUUGGAAAUUCAUAGUGAUCAGGACUACCUAAAAAAGAGAGAAACAUUUCAAAUAAACAGCCUAAUCCUAGAUGUACAAGAACUGGAGAACUGAUAACAAACAAAGCCCACUGGGAGUCAAAGGAAGGAAAUAACCAAGUUCAGAGCAGAAUUAA
Molecule: long non-coding RNA, 366 nt
Organism: Phyllostomus discolor (pale spear-nosed bat)
Lineage: Eukaryota; Metazoa; Chordata; Mammalia; Chiroptera; Phyllostomidae
Exons: 3
Source: RefSeq, a predicted model, not a curated record